RNAcentral lists this ribosomal RNA (398 nucleotides) under uncultured bacterium. RNAcentral describes it as "partial 16S ribosomal RNA". It matches the Rfam family "Bacterial small subunit ribosomal RNA", at positions 360 to 776 of the family's 1533-position model. The record is from RNAcentral.
AAUACUGCACAAUGGGGGAAACCCUGACGCAGCGACGCCGUGUGAGCGAAUAUGGCCUUCGGUUCGUAAAGCUUUGUUCUAAGGGAAGAAACGGACGGUACCUUAGGAGGAAGCCCCGGCUAACUACGUGCCAGCCGCCGCGGUAAUACGUAGGGGGCGAGCGUUAUCCGGAAUUACUGGGCGUCAAGGGUGCGUAGGCGGCCUUUUAAGUCAGAUGUGAAAGGCUACGGCUUAACCGUAGUUAGCAUUUGAAACUAAAAGGCUUGGGUGCAGGAGAGGAGAGUGGGAUUCCUAGUGUAGCGGUGAAAUGCGUAGAUAUUAGGAGGAACACCAGUGGCGAAGGCGACUCUCUGGACUGCAACUGACGCUGAGGCACGAAAGCGUGGGGAGCGAACAGG